AUGGAAUCCGGGGCUUUAGAGCUGGAAUGAUCGCAUCCGACAUACCGUGCGUUCUCCUCCCCUUUAUGCCCGCGCCUCCGUGUACGGCCCGCCCAUAGCUCCUUCGACGGCGCCGCCUAGGAACGCGGAGAAAAUAUGACAAAGGAGCGGCCAAAAAUAAAAAGAAAGACCUUUCUUUUGAAAAAACAAACAAAUAAAAGGAAUGCAACACGAGGACUUCCUAGGAGGUCACCCAUCCUAGUACUACUCUCGCCCAAGCACGCUUAACUUCGGAGUUCUGAUGGGAUCCGGUGCUUUAGUGCUGGUAUGAUCGCAUCCGACAUACCGUGCGUUCUCCUCCCCUUUAUGCCCGCGCCUCCGUGUACGGCCCGCCCAUAGCUCCUUCGACGGCGCCGCCUAGGAACGCGGAGAAAAUAUGACAAAGGAACGGCCAAAAAUAAAAAGAAAGACCUUUCUUUUGAAAAAACAAACGCCUCCGUGUACGGCCCGCCCAUAGCUCCUUCGACGGCGCCGCCUAGGAACGCGGAGAAAAUAUGACAAAGGAACGGCCAAAAAUAAAAAGAAAGACCUUUCUUUUGAAAAAACAAACAAAAAAAAGGAAUGCAACACGAGGACUUCCCAGGAGGUCACCCAUCCUAGUACUACUCUCGCCCAAGCACGCUUAACUUCGGAGUUCUGAUGGGAUCCGGUGCUUUAGUGCUGGUAUGAUCGCAUCCGACAUACCGUGCGUUCUCCUCCCCUUUAUGCCCGCGCCUCCGUGUACGGCCCGCCCAUAGCUCCUUCGACGGCGCCGCCUAGGAACGCGGAGAAAAUAUGACAAAGGAACGGCCAAAAAUAAAAAGAAAGACCUUUCUUUUGAAAAAACAAACAAAUAAAAGGAAUGCAACACGAGGACUUCCCAGGAGGUCACCCAUCCUAGUACUACUCUCGCCCAAGCACGCUUAACUUCGGAGUUCUGAUGGGAUCCGGUGCUUUAGUGCUGGUAUGAUCGCAUUCGACAUACCGAUGCGUUCUCAUCCCCGUUAUGCGCCGCGCCUCUGUGUACGGCCCGCCCAUAGCUCCUUUGACUGCGCCUCGUAGGAUCGCGGAGAAUAUAUGACAAAGGCACGGCCAAACAUAAAACGAAAGACCUCUCUUUUGCAACAACAAACAAAAUAAAGGAAUGCAACACGAGGACUUCCCAGGAGGUCACCCAUCCUAGUACUAGUCUCGCUCAAGCACGCUGAUCUUCGGAGUUCUGAUGGGAUCCGGUGCUUUAGUGCUGGUAUGAUCGCAUCCGACAUACCGUGCGUUCUCCUCCCCUUUAUGCCCGCGCCUCCGUGUACGGCCCGCCCAUAGCUCCUUCGACGGCGCCGCCUAGGAACGCGGAGAAAAUAUGACAAAGGAACGGCCAAAAAUAAAAAGAAAGACCUUUCUUUUGAAAAAACAAACAAAAAAAAGGAAUGCAACACGAGGACUUCCCAGGAGGUCACCCAUCCUAGUACUACUCUCGCCCAAGCACGCUUAACUUCGGAGUUCUGAUGGGAUCCGGUGCUUUAGUGCUGGUAUGAUCGCAUCCGACAUACCGUGCGUUCUCCUCCCCUUUAUGCCCGCGCCUCCGUGUACGGCCCGCCCAUAGCUCCUUCGACGGCGCCGCCUAGGAACGCGGAGAAAAUAUGACAAAGGAACGGCCAAAAAUAAAAAGAAAGACCUUUCUUUUGAAAAAACAAACAAAUAAAAGGAAUGCAACACGAGGACUUCCCAGGAGGUCACCCAUCCUAGUACUACUCUCGCCCAAGCACGCUUAACUUCGGAGUUCUGAUGGGAUCCGGUGCUUUAGUGCUGGUAUGAUCGCAUCCGACAUACCGUGCGUUCUCCUCCCCUUUAUGCCCGCGCCUCCGUGUACGGCCCGCCCAUAGCUCCUUCGACGAGCCCGCCUAGGAACGCGGAGAAAAUAUGACAAAGGAACGGCCAAAAAUAAAAAGAAAGACCUUUCUUUUGAAAAAACAAACAAAUAAAAGGAAUGCAACACGAGGACUUCCCAGGAGGUCACCCAUCCUAGUACUACUCUCGCCCAAGCACGCUUAACUUCGGAGUUCUGAUGGGAUCCGGUGCUUUAGUGCUGGUAUGAUCGCAUCCGACAUACCGUGCGUUCUCCUCCCCUUUAUGCCCGCGCCUCCGUGUACGGCCCGCCCAUAGCUCCUUCGACGGCGCCGCCUAGGAACGCGGAGAAAAUAUGACAAAGGAACGGCCAAAAAUAAAAAGAAAGACCUUUCUUUUGAAAAAACAAACAAAAAAAAGGAAUGCAACACGAGGACUUCCCAGGAGGUCACCCAUCCUAGUACUACUCUCGCCCAAGCACGCUUAACUUCGGAGUUCUGAUGGGAUCCGGUGCUUUAGUGCUGGUAUGAUCGCAUCCGACAUACCGUGCGUUCUCCUCCCCUUUAUGCCCGCGCCUCCGUGUACGGCCCGCCCAUAGCUCCUUCGACGGCGCCGCCUAGGAACGCGGAGAAAAUAUGACAAAGGAACGGCCAAAAAUAAAAAGAAAGACCUUUCUUUUGAAAAAACAAACAAAUAAAAGGAAUGCAACACGAGGACUUCCCAGGAGGUCACCCAUCCUAGUACUACUCUCGCCCAAGCACGCUUAACUUCGGAGUUCUGAUGGGAUCCGGUGCUUUAGUGCUGGUAUGAUCGCAUCCGACAUACCGUGCGUUCUCCUCCCCUUUAUGCCCGCGCCUCCGUGUACGGCCCGCCCAUAGCUCCUUCGACGGCGCCGCCUAGGAACGCGGAGAAAAUAUGACAAAGGAACGGCCAAAAAUAAAAAGAAAGACCUUUCUUUUGAAAAAACAAACAAAUAAAAGGAAUGCAACACGAGGACUUCCCAGGAGGUCACCCAUCCUAGUACUACUCUCGCCCAAGCACGCUUAACUUCGGAGUUCUGAUGGGAUCCGGUGCUUUAGUGCUGGUAUGAUCGCAUCCGACAUACCGUGCGUUCUCCUCCCCUUUAUGCCCGCGCCUCCGUGUACGGUCCGCCCAUAGCUCUUUAGUUGGCGCCUCCUAGGAACGCGGAGAAAAUAUGACAAAGGAACGGCCAAAAAUAAAAAGAAAGACCUUUCUUUUGAAAAAACAAACGCCUCCGUGUACGGCCCGCCCAUAGCUCCUUCGACGGCGCCGCCUAGGAACGCGGAGAAAAUAUGACAAAGGAACGGCCAAAAAUAAAAAGAAAGACCUUUCUUUUGAAAAAACAAACAAAAAAAAGGAAUGCAACACGAGGACUUCCCAGGAGGUCACCCAUCCUAGUACUACUCUCGCCCAAGCACGCUUAACUUCGGAGUUCUGAUGGGAUCCGGUGCUUUAGUGCUGGUAUGAUCGCAUCCGACAUACCGUGCGUUCUCCUCCCCUUUAUGCCCGCGCCUCCGUGUACGGCCCGCCCAUAGCUCCUUCGACGGCGCCGCCUAGGAACGCGGAGAAAAUAUGACAAAGGAACGGCCAAAAAUAAAAAGAAAGACCUUUCUUUUGAAAAAACAAACAAAUAAAAGGAAUGCAACACGAGGAGUUCCCAGGAGGUCACCCAUCCUAGUACUACUCUCGCCCAAGCACGCUUAACUUCGGAGUUCUGAUGGGAUCCGGUGCUUUAGUGCUGGUAUGAUCGCAUCCGACAUACCGUGCGUUCUCCUCCCCUUUAUGCCCGCGCCUCCGUGUACGGCCCGCCCAUAGCUCCUUCGAUGGCGCCGCCUAGGAACGCGGAGAAAAUAUGACAAAGGAACGGCCAAAAAUAAAAAGAAAGACCUUUCUUUUGAAAAAACAAACGCCUCCGUGUACGGCCCGCCCAUAGCUCCUUCGACGGCGCCGCCUAGGAACGCGGAGAAAAUAUGACAAAGGAACGGCCAAAAAUAAAAAGAAAGACCUUUCUUUUGAAAAAACAAACAAAAAAAAGGAAUGCAACACGAGGACUUCCCAGGAGGUCACCCAUCCUAGUACUACUCUCGCCCAAGCACGCUUAACUUCGGAGUUCGGAUGGGAUCCGGUGCUUUAGUGCUGGUAUGAUCGCAUCCGACAUACCGUGCGUUCUCCUCCCCUUUAUGCCCGCGCCUCCGUGUACGGCCCGCCCAUAGCUCCUUCGACGGCGCCGCCUAGGAACGCGGAGAAAAUAUGACAAAGGAACGGCCAAAAAUAAAAAGAAAGACCUUUCUUUUGAAAAAACAAACAAAUAAAAGGAAUGCAACACGAGGACUUCCCAGGAGGUCACCCAUCCUAGUACUACUCUCGCCCAAGCACGCUUAACUUCGGAGUUCUGAUGGGAUCCGGUGCUUUAGUGCUGGUAUGAUCGCAUCCGACAUACCGUGCGUUCUCCUCCCCUUUAUGCCCGCGCCUCCGUGUACGGCCCGCCCAUAGCUCCUUCGACGGCGCCGCCUAGGAACGCGGAGAAAAUAUGACAAAGGAACGGCCAAAAAUAAAAAGAAAGACCUUUCUUUUGAAAAAACAAACAAAAAAAAGGAAUGCAACACGAGGACUUCCCAGGAGGUCACCCAUCCUAGUACUACUCUCGCCCAAGCACGCUUAACUUCGCAGUUCUGAUGGGAUCCGGUGCUUUAGUGCUGGUAUGAUCGCAUCCGACAUACCGUGCGUUCUCCUCCCCUUUAUGCCCGCGCCUCCGUGUACGGCCCGCCCAUAGCUCCUUCGACGGCGCCGCCUAGGAACGCGGAGAAAAUAUGACAAAGGAACGGCCAAAAAUAAAAAGAAAGACCUUUCUUUUGAAAAAACAAACGGCUCCGUGUACGGCCCGCCCAUAGCUCCUUCGACGGCGCCGCCUAGGAACGCGGAGAAAAUAUGACAAAGGAACGGCCAAAAAUAAAAAGAAAGACCUUUCUUUUGAAAAAACAAACAAAAAAAAGGAAUGCAACACGAGGACUUCCCAGGAGGUCACCCAUCCUAGUACUACUCUCGCCCAAGCACGCUUAACUUCGGAGUUCUGAUGGGAUCCGGUGCUUUAGUGCUGGUAUGAUCGCAUCCGACAUACCGUGCGUUCUCCUCCCCUUUAUGCCCGCGCCUCCGUGUACGGCCCGCCCAUAGCUCCUUCGACGGCGCCGCCUAGGAACGCGGAGAAAAUAUGACAAAGGAACGGCCAAAAAUAAAAAGAAAGACCUUUCUUUUGAAAAAACAAACAAAUAAAAGGAAUGCAACACGAGGACUUCCCAGGAGGUCACCCAUCCUAGUACUACUCUCGCCCAAGCACGCUUAACUUCGGAGUUCUGAUGGGAUCCGGUGCUUUAGUGCUGGUAUGAUCGCAUCCGACAUACCGUGUGUCGACGAAAGCUGGUCGGCAGUCUACCUUGGGGUAUACCCACGGUAGUAGUUUAUCGGUAGACGGUGCGCAAACUACGAACUCGAUGGUGACGCAAGACACGGACAAGCUUUUUAUCCAGGUUCGGCCGCCGAGUUGGCGUAAUACCUACGUCCUGCGUCUGGUUGUAUUGGAUUGUGUUUAGAGAUAAUCUACCCUAGGGGGUCCCCUUGCCCCUCCUUAUAUAGUCUGGAGGGCAGGGUUACAGAUCUAGAAACUAAUCCUAGCCGGUUACAAUUGCCAUAGAUAAUUCGAUAUCAAUUCCUAUUCUAACCGACUAGAAUCCUGCUUGAUCUCCACGUCCUGUUUCCUUGCGCGAAACUCGGGCUAUCGGAUCAAGCCUUGAACUCGUCUCGUAGUGGGCCAAGCUUCCUAGCUGAAGUCUAGCCGUAAGGGUAUAGGGGUUUAUACCCCCACAGCUAGUCCCCGAGCGCCAUGUAUUGUGACGCAACACUCCGUCUUGAGCUUCUUCGAUCAGCGUGGUCUGUCGUCUUCAAUGAGCGGGGAAAUCGCCCAAACGGUUCAUUGAUCAACGUUGUCAUCGAAGAAGCAGGUUGUUCGAAGAAUGCAUGGUGCUCUAAAAAAAAUUUCUUUCCUGGUGAAGUGUGCCCACUUUGCCUUUCUGAAAGGUAGAAGCAACAAAAAAGCAAGCAAAUUCACCGCUAGGUGAAGUGUGCCCACUUAGUCCCCGAGCCUGGUAGUAGGUGUCGUAGGCACGUGGUGCCAGGGUCAAAAGAAAAUUCCCCAAAGUAGUUUUGGGACUGAGAUGCAUCGUACCGAUGUAGUCCCCGAGCUUGCUGGAAGGCGAAGUAUGAGCCUUGUAGCAAGGUCUAAAAAAUUGAAUUUACCAGUCCCCGAGCAUGUCAUGCUCGUCUGCAAUCGAAAAGACCAAUCGACCAGUCCCCAGGCACUUAGUGUGCUGCCUGGAAUUACAUGUUACUAUACUGUACGACCAGUCCCCGAGCAUCGAGUGCUCAGUGGUCGGUGCAUGCUUUAAAGCUUUGAGCUGAUAGACUGAGCGACCAGUCCCCGAGCGUCGAGUGCUCGGUGGUCGGUGAAGUCUUUGAAGUUCCGAGCUGAUAAACUGGGCGACCAGUCCCCGAGCGUCGAGUGCUCGGUGGUCGGUGCAGUCUUUGAAGUUCCGAGCUAAUAAACUGGGCGACCAGUCCCCGAGCGUCGAGUGCUCGGUGGUCGGUGCAGUCUUUGAAGUUCCGAGCUAAUAAACUGGGCGACCAGUCCCCGAGCGUCGAGUGCUCGGUGGUCGGUGCAGUCCCCGGAUUGCUGACUCACUGGCGUAUGUGUCUUCUUACUUUUGAAAAGGUCUUUCAAAUUUAAAGUUGACGUGACGGGGUCUCCUGACGAUAUGUCAGACGGAUGCAUGAAAAGCUGUGCCUGGCAACUGUACAACCGCUCUUUGCNNNNNNNNNNNNNNNNNNNNNNNNNNNNNNNNNNNNNNNNNNNNNNNNNNNNNNNNNNNNNNNNNNNNNNNNNNNNNNNNNNNNNNNNNNNNNNNNNNNNCGUUCUCCUCCCCUUUAUGCCCGCGCCUCCGUGUCCGUAAAGGGCAUAGCUCCUUCGACGGCGCCGCCGUAGGAACGCUGAGAAGAUAUGACAAAGGAACGGCCAAAAAUAAAAAGAAAGACCUUUCUUUUGAAAAAACAAACAAAAAAAAGGAAUGCAACACGAGGACUUCCCAGGAGGUCACCCAUCCUAGUACUACUCUCGCCCAAGCACGCUUAACUUCGGAGUUCUGAUGGGAUCCGGUGCUUUAGUGCUGGUAUGAUCGCAUCCGACAUACCGUGCGUUCUCCUCCCCUUUAUGCCCGCGCCUCCGUGUACGGCCGGCCCAUAGCUCCUUCGACGGCGCCGCCUAGGAACGCGGAGAAAAUAUGACAAAGGAAUUUUUUUAAAUAAAAAGAAAGACCUUUCUUUUGAAAAAACAAACGAAAAAAAGGAAUGCAACACGAGGACUUCCCAGGAGGUCACCCAUCCUAGUACUACUCUCGCCCAAGCACGCUUAACUUCGGAGUUCUGAUGGGAUCCGGUGCUUUAGUGCUGGUAUGAUCGCAUCCGACAUACCGUGCGUUCUCCUCCCCUUUAUGCCCGCGCCUCCGUGUACGGCCCGCCCAUAGCUCCUUCGACGGCGCCGCCUAAGAACGCGGAAAAAAUAUGACAAAGGAACGGCCAAAAAUAAAAAAAAAAAACCUUUCUUUUGAAAAAANNNNNNNNNNNNNNNNNNNNNNNNNNNNNNNNNNNNNNNNNNNNNNNNNNNNNNNNNNNNNNNNNNNNNNNNNNNNNNNNNNNNNNNNNNNNNNNNNNNNAAAAGGAAUGCAACACGAGGACUUCCCAGGAGGUCACCCAUCCUAGUACUACUCUCGCCCAAGCACGCUUAACUUCGGAGUUCUGAUGGGAUCCGGUGCUUUAGUGCUGGUAUGAUCGCAUCCGACAUACCGUGCGUUCUCCUCCCCUUUAUGCCCGCGCCUCCGUGUUACGGCCCGCCCAUAGCUCCUUCGACGGCGCCGCCUAGGAACGCGGAGAAAAUAUGACAAAGGAACGGCCAAAAAUCAAAAGAAAGACCUUUCUUUUGAAAAAACACACGCCUCCGUGUACGGCCCGCCCAUAGCUCCUUCGACGGCGCCGCCUAGGAACGCGGAGAAAAUAUGACAAAGGAACGGCCAAAAAUAAAAAGAAAGACCUUUCUUUUGAAAAAACAAACAAAUAAAAGGAAUGCAACACGAGGACUUCCCAGGAGGUCACCCAUCCUAGUACUACUCUCGCCCAAGCACGCUUAACUUCGGAGUUCUGAUGGGAUCCGGUGCUUUAGUGCUGGUAUGAUCGCAUCCGACAUACCGUGCGUUCUCCUCCCCUUUAUGCCCGCGCCUCCGUGUACGGCCCGCCCAUAGCUCCUUCGACGGCGCCGCCUAGGAACGCGGAGAAAAUAUGACAAAGGAACGGCCAAAAAUAAAAAGAAAGACCUUUCUUUUGAAAAAACAAACAAAUAAAAGGAAUGCAACACGAGGACUUCCCAGGAGGUCACCCAUCCUAGUACUACUCUCGCCCAAGCACGCUUAACUUCGGAGUUCUGAUGGGAUCCGGUGCUUUAGUGCUGGUAUGAUCGCAUCCGACAUACCGUGCGUUCUCCUCCCCUUUAUGCCCGCGCCUCCGUGUACGGCCCGCCCAUAGCUCCUUCGACGGCGCCGCCUAGGAACGCGGAGAAAAUAUGACAAAGGAACGGCCAAAAAUAAAAAGAAAGACCUUUCUUUUGAAAAAACAAACGCCUCCGUGUACGGCCCGCCCAUAGCUCCUUCGACGGCGCCGCCUAGGAACGCGGAGAAAAUAUGACAAAGGAACGGCCAAAAAUAAAAAGAAAGACCUUUCUUUUGAAAAAACAAACAAAAAAAAGGAAUGCAACACGAGGACUUCCCAGGAGGUCACCCAUCCUAGUACUACUCUCGCCCAAGCACGCUUAACUUCGGAGUUCUGAUGGGAUCCGGUGCUUUAGUGCUGGUAUGAUCGCAUCCGACAUACCGUGCGUUCUCCUCCCCUUUAUGCCCGCGCCUCCGUGUACGGCCCGCCCAUAGCUCCUUCGACGGCGCCGCCUAGGAACGCGGAGAAAAUAUGACAAAGGAACGGCCAAAAAUAAAAAGAAAGACCUUUCUUUUGAAAAAACAAACAAAUAAAAGGAAUGCAACACGAGGACUUCCCAGGAGGUCACCCAUCCUAGUACUACUCUCGCCCAAGCACGCUUAACUUCGGAGUUCUGAUGGGAUCCGGUGCUUUAGUGCUGGUAUGAUCGCAUCCGACAUACCGUGCGUUCUCCUCCCCUUUAUGCCCGCGCCUCCGUGUACGGCCCGCCCAUAGCUCCUUCGACGGCGCCGCCUAGGAACGCGGAGAAAAUAUGACAAAGGAACGGCCAAAAAUAAAAAGAAAGACCUUUCUUUUGAAAAAACAAACGCCUCCGUGUACGGCCCGCCCAUAGCUCCUUCGACGGCGCCGCCUAGGAACGCGGAGAAAAUAUGACAAAGGAACGGCCAAAAAUAAAAAGAAAGACCUUUCUUUUGAAAAAACAAACAAAAAAAAGGAAUGCAACACGAGGACUUCCCAGGAGGUCACCCAUCCUAGUACUACUCUCGCCCAAGCACGCUUAACUUCGGAGUUCUGAUGGGAUCCGGUGCUUUAGUGCUGGUAUGAUCGCAUCCGACAUACCGUGCGUUCUCCUCCCCUUUAUGCCCGCGCCUCCGUGUACGGCCCGCCCAUAGCUCCUUCGACGGCGCCGCCUAGGAACGCGGAGAAAAUAUGACAAAGGAACGGCCAAAAAUAAAAAGAAAGACCUUUCUUUUGAAAAAACAAACAAAUAAAAGGAAUGCAACACGAGGACUUCCCAGGAGGUCACCCAUCCUAGUACUACUCUCGCCCAAGCACGCUUAACUUCGGAGUUCUGAUGGGAUCCGGUGCUUUAGUGCUGGUAUGAUCGCAUCCGACAUACCGUGCGUUCUCCUCCCCUUUAUGCCCGCGCCUCCGUGUACGGCCCGCCCAUAGCUCCUUCGACGGCGCCGCCUAGGAACGCGGAGAAAAUAUGACAAAGGAACGGCCAAAAAUAAAAAGAAAGACCUUUCUUUUGAAAAAACAAACAAAAAAAAGGAAUGCAACACGAGGACUUCCCAGGAGGUCACCCAUCCUAGUACUACUCUCGCCCAAGCACGCUUAACUUCGGAGUUCUGAUGGGAUCCGGUGCUUUAGUGCUGGUAUGAUCGCAUCCGACAUACCGUGCGUUCUCCUCCCCUUUAUGCCCGCGCCUCCGGGUACGGUCCUCCCAUAGCUCCGUCAACGGCCCGCCUAGGAACGCGGAGAAAAUAUGACAAAGGAACGGCCAAAAAUAAAAAGAAAGCCCUUUCUUUUGAAAAGACAACCGAAUAAAAGGAAUGCCACGCGAGGACUUCCCAGGAGGUCACCCAUCAUAGUACUACUCUCGCCCAAGCACGCUUAACUUCGGAGUUCUGAUGGGAUCCGGUGCUUUAGUGCUGGUAUGAUCGCAUCCGACAUACCGCGCGUUCUCCUCCCCUUAAGGCCCGCGCCUCCGUGUACGGCCCGCCCAUAGCUCCUUAGACGGCACCUCCUAGGAACGCGGAGAAAAUAUGACAAAGGAACGGCCAAAAAUAAAAAGAAAGACCUUUCUUUUGAAAAAACAAACGCCUCCGUGUACGGCCCGCCCAUAGCUCCUUCGACGGCGCCGCCUAGGAACGCGGAGAAAAUAUGACAAAGGAACGGCCAAAAAUAAAAAGAAAGACCUUUCUUUUGAAAAAACAAACAAAAAAAAGGAAUGCAACACGAGGACUUCCCAGGAGGUCACCCAUCCUAGUACUACUCUCGCCCAAGCACGCUUAACUUCGGAGUUCUGAUGGGAUCCGGUGCUUUAGUGCUGGUAUGAUCGCAUCCGACAUACCGUGCGUUCUCCUCCCCUUUAUGCCCGCGCCUCCGUGUACGGCCCGCCCAUAGCUCCUUCGACGGCGCCGCCUAGGAACGCGGAGAAAAUAUGACAAAGGAACGGCCAAAAAUAAAAAGAAAGACCUUUCUUUUGAAAAAACAAACGCCUCCGCGUACGGCCCGCCCAUAGCUCCUUCGACGGCGCCGCCUAGGAACGCGGAGAAAAUAUGACAAAGGAACGGCCAAAAAUAAAAAGAAAGACCUUUCUUUUGAAAAAACAAACAAAAAAAAGGAAUGCAACACGAGGACUUCCCAGGAGGUCACCCAUCCUAGUACUACUCUCGCCCAAGCACGCUUAACUUCGGAGUUCUGAUGGGAUCCGGUGCUUUAGUGCUGGUAUGAUCGCAUCCGACAUACCGUGCGUUCUCCUCCCCUUUAUGCCCGCGCCUCCGUGUACGGCCCGCCCAUAGCUCCUUCGACGGCGCCGCCUAGGAACGCGGAGAAAAUAUGACAAAGGAACGGCCAAAAAUAAAAAGAAAGACCUUUCUUUUGAAAAAACAAACAAAUAAAAGGAAUGCAACACGAGGACUUCCCAGGAGGUCACCCAUCCUAGUACUACUCUCGCCCAAGCACGCUUAACUUCGGAGUUCUGAUGGGAUCCGGUGCUUUAGUGCUGGUAUGAUCGCAUCCGACAUACCGUGCGUUCUCCUCCCCUUUAUGCCCGCGCCUCCGUGUACGGCCCGCCCAUAGCUCCUUCGACGGCGCCGCCUAGGAACGCGGAGAAAAUAUGACAAAGGAACGGCCAAAAAUAAAAAGAAAGACCUUUCUUUUGAAAAAACAAACAAAUAAAAGGAAUGCAACACGAGGACUUCCCAGGAGGUCACCCAUCCUAGUACUACUCUCGCCCAAGCACGCUUAACUUCGGAGUUCUGAUGGGAUCCGGUGCUUUAGUGCUGGUAUGAUCGCAUCCGACAUACCGUGCGUUCUCCUCCCCUUUAUGCCCGCGCCUCCGUGUACGGCCCGCCCAUAGCUCCUUCGACGGCGCCGCCUAGGAACGCGGAGAAAAUAUGACAAAGGAACGGCCAAAAAUAAAAAGAAAGACCUUUCUUUUGAAAAAACAAACGCCUCCGUGUACGGCCCGCCCAUAGCUCCUUCGACGGCGCCGCCUAGGAACGCGGAGAAAAUAUGACAAAGGAACGGCCAAAAAUAAAAAGAAAGACCUUUCUUUUGAAAAAACAAACAAAAAAAAGGAAUGCAACACGAGGACUUCCCAGGAGGUCACCCAUCCUAGUACUACUCUCGCCCAAGCACGCUUAACUUCGGAGUUCUGAUGGGAUCCGGUGCUUUAGUGCUGGUAUGAUCGCAUCCGACAUACCGUGCGUUCUCCUCCCCUUUAUGCCCGCGCCUCCGUGUACGGCCCGCCCAUAGCUCCUUCGACGGCGCCGCCUAGGAACGCGGAGAAAAUAUGACAAAGGAACGGCCAAAAAUAAAAAGAAAGACCUUUCUUUUGAAAAAACAAACAAAUAAAAGGAAUGCAACACGAGGACUUCCCAGGAGGUCACCCAUCCUAGUACUACUCUCGCCCAAGCACGCUUAACUUCGGAGUUCUGAUGGGAUCCGGUGCUUUAGUGCUGGUAUGAUCGCAUCCGACAUACCGUGCGUUCUCCUCCCCUUUAUACCCGCGCCUCCGUGUACGGCCCGCCCAUAGCUCCUUCGACGGCGCCGCCUAGGAACGCGGAGAAAAUAUGACAAAGGAACGGCCAAAAAUAAAAAGAAAGACCUUUCUUUUGAAAAAACAAACAAAUAAAAGGAAUGCAACACGAGGACUUCCCAGGAGGUCACCCAUCCUAGUACUACUCUCGCCCAAGCACGCUUAACUUCGGAGUUCUGAUGGGAUCCGGUGCUUUAGUGCUGGUAUGAUCGCAUCCGACAUACCGUGCGUUCUCCUCCCCUUUAUGCCCGCGCCUCCGUGUACGGCCCGCCCAUAGCUCCUUCGACGGCGCCGCCUAGGAACGCGGAGAAAAUAUGACAAAGGAACGGCCAAAAAUAAAAAGAAAGACCUUUCUUUUGAAAAAACAAACGCCUCCGUGUACGGCCCGCCCAUAGCUCCUUCGACGGCGCCGCCUAGGAACGCGGAGAAAAUAUGACAAAGGAACGGCCAAAAAUAAAAAGAAAGACCUUUCUUUUGAAAAAACAAACAAAAAAAAGGAAUGCAACACGAGGACUUCCCAGGAGGUCACCCAUCCUAGUACUACUCUCGCCCAAGCACGCUUAACUUCGGAGUUCUGAUGGGAUCCGGUGCUUUAGUGCUGGUAUGAUCGCAUCCGACAUACCGUGCGUUCUCCUCCCCUUUAUACCCGCGCCUCCGUGUACGGCCCGCCCAUAGCUCCUUCGACGGCGCCGCCUAGGAACGCGGAGAAAAUAUGACAAAGGAACGGCCAAAAAUAAAAAGAAAGACCUUUCUUUUGAAAAAACAAGCAAAAAAAAGGAAUGCAACACGAGGACUUCCCAGGAGGUCACCCAUCCUAGUACUACUCUCGCCCAAGCACGCUUAACUUCGGAGUUCUGAUGGGAUCCGGUGCUUUAGUGCUGGUAUGAUCGCAUCCGACAUACCGUGCGUUCUCCUCCCCUUUAUGCCCGCGCCUCCGUGUACGGCCCGCCCAUAGCUCCUUCGACAGCGCCGCCUAGGAACGCGGAGAAAAUAUGACAAAGGAACGGCAAAAAAUAAAAAGAAAGACCUUUCUUUUGAAAAAACAAACAAAAAAAAGGAAUGCAACACGCGGACUUCCCAGGAGGUCACCCAUCCUAGUACUACUCUCGCCUAAGCACGCUUAACUUCGGAGUNN
Molecule: long non-coding RNA, 13589 nt
Filed under: Sorghum bicolor (sorghum)
Lineage: Eukaryota; Viridiplantae; Streptophyta; Magnoliopsida; Poales; Poaceae
Description: long non-coding RNA (SBIC_LNC015499)
Source: RNAcentral